UCAAAGGAAUUGACGGGGGCCCGCACAAGCGGCGGAGCAUGUGGAUUAAUUCGAUGCAACGCGAAGAACCUUACCUGGGUUUGACAUAUACCGGAAAGCCGUAGAGAUACGGCCCCCCUUGUGGUCGGUAUACAGGUGGUGCAUGGCUGUCGUCAGCUCGUGUCGUGAGAUGUUGGGUUAAGUCCCGCAACGAGCGCAACCCUUGUCCUGUGUUGCCAGCGCGUAAUGGCGGGGACUCGCAGGAGACUGCCGGGGUCAACUCGGAGGAAGGUGGGGACGACGUCAAGUCAUCAUGCCCCUUAUGUCCAGGGCUUCACACAUGCUACAAUGGCCGGUACAGAGGGCUGCGAUACCGUGAGGUGGAGCGAAUCCCUUAAAGCCGGUCUCAGUUCGGAUCGGGGUCUGCAACUCGACCCCGUGAAGUCGGAGUCGCUAGUAAUCGCAGAUCAGCAACG
Molecule: ribosomal RNA, 455 nt
Filed under: Rhodococcus (subgen. Prescottella) equi
Lineage: Bacteria; Bacillati; Actinomycetota; Actinomycetes; Mycobacteriales; Nocardiaceae
Description: Prescottella equi bacterial SSU rRNA
Rfam family: Bacterial small subunit ribosomal RNA
Source: RNAcentral